Molecule: ribosomal RNA, 257 nt
Filed under: uncultured bacterium
Lineage: Bacteria
Description: partial 16S ribosomal RNA
Rfam family: Bacterial small subunit ribosomal RNA
Source: RNAcentral
UGGCGGACGGGUGAGUAACGCGUGGGCAACCUGGCCUGUACAGGGGGAUAACACUUAGAAAUAGGUGCUAAUACCGCAUAACGGGAGAAGCCGCAUGGCUUUUUCCUGAAAACUCCGGUGGUACAGGAUGGGCCCGCGUCUGAUUAGCCAGUUGGCAAGGUAACGGCCUACCAAAGCGACGAUCAGUAGCCGGCCUGAGAGGGCGGACGGCCACACUGGGACUGAGACACGGCCCAGACUCCUACGGGAGGCAGCAG